GGAGUCUAGCAUGUGCGCGAGUCAUUGGGACAUCGCGAAUCCUAAAGGCGAAAUGAAAGUAAAGGCGAGCCUAGCGCCCGCCGAGGGAGGAUGGGUGACCGCAAAGGUCGCCUCGCACUCCCGGGGCGUCUCGUUCUUUCGCGUCCUCGGACGCGAAGAAGAGGCGCACCCAGAGCGUACACGCUGGGACCCGAAAGAUGGUGAACUAUGCCUGGUCAGGACGAAGUCAGGGGAAACCCUGAUGGAGGUCCGUAGCGAUUCUGACGUGCAAAUCGAUCGUCGGAACCGGGUAUAGGGGCGAAAGACUAAUCGAACCAUCUAGUAGCUGGUUCCCUCCGAAGUUUCCCUCAGGAUAGCUGGCGCUCGCUUUGCGAGUCUCAUCCGGUAAAGCGAAUGAUUAGAGGCAUUGGGGUCGAAACGGCCUCAACCUAUUCUCAAACUUUAAAUGGGUGAGAUCUCCGGCUUGCUUAACUACGAAGCCGCGAGAUUCACAAUCGGAUCAGAGUGCCAAGUGGGCCAUUUUUGGUAAGCAGAACUGGCGCUGUGGGAUGAACCAAACGCCGAGUUAAAGCGCCUAAAUCGUACGCUUAUGGGAUACCAUGAAAGGCGUUGGUAACUUAAGACAGCAGGACGGUGGCCAUGGAAGUC
Molecule: ribosomal RNA, 648 nt
Filed under: Pomatinus substriatus
Lineage: Eukaryota; Metazoa; Arthropoda; Insecta; Coleoptera; Dryopidae
Description: eukaryotic LSU rRNA
Rfam family: Eukaryotic large subunit ribosomal RNA
Source: RNAcentral